Molecule: non-coding RNA, 432 nt
Organism: Cinara cedri
Lineage: Eukaryota; Metazoa; Arthropoda; Insecta; Hemiptera; Aphididae
Source: the annotation of a GenBank genome assembly
AGGAUUUGUUUUGUUUUUUGGUUUUAUUAAACACGAGAGACGUUACUGCGUAUACGUCGUAUCAUUAAGUUUAUCUUUUUAGUUUCGGGGCAUAGCUGGGGAACUAUGGGUUUUACUAUGUUGUGUGUGUUUUUUACAUUUGUAUUUUUUGUGUCUAUGAAAAACUUUUUAUUUACCAGACAACUUGCUCCGAACUAUAGACUAUAUCAUUUUUUUCUGAAAGGCAAUUUUCUCUCGCGUGUGCAUUGGGGAGGUCAUUUUGAUUAAAAUCAUAAUUAUUACAGCUUUUCAAUACUUGUGUAACAUGUGUCGAAUCGUUUUUCGUUAUCCAUAGAUAACGAUGGUUAUUGUUGAUCACAGGUAUAAAUUUAAAAAAUGUAUGUAUUCCACUUUCCCCACUACCCAUCUACAAUAAUGGCCACAUCCAUCCCC